RNAcentral lists this ribosomal RNA (465 nucleotides) under uncultured bacterium. RNAcentral describes it as "partial 16S ribosomal RNA". It matches the Rfam family "Bacterial small subunit ribosomal RNA", at positions 28 to 507 of the family's 1533-position model. The record is from RNAcentral.
GACGAACGCUGGCGGCGUGCUUAACACAUGCAAGUCGAACGGAAAGGCCCUGCUUGCGGGGUACUCGAGUGGCGAACGGGCGAGUAACACGUGGGUGAUCAGCCCUCCACUUCGGGAUAGGUCUGGUAAACUGGGUCUAAUACCGGACAGGAGCCAUUUUUAGUGGGAUGGUUGGAAAGUUUUGUCGGUGUGGGGUGAGUUCGCGGCCUAUCAGCUUGGUGGGGGGGUAAUGGCCUACCAAGGCGGCGGCGUGUAGCCGGACUGGGGGGGUGGGCGGCGACAUUGGGACUGAGGGGCGGCCGCAGCAGCUACUGGAGGGAAAUGGGGGGAAGAUUGAACGAUGGGCGCAAGGCUGGUGCAGAGAGGCCGCGGGUGGGAAGACGGCCUUCGGGUUGUAAAAUCCUUUCGCUAGGGACGAAGCUUGUUGUGACGGUACCUAGAGAAGAAGCACCGGCUAACUACGUG